GUAAUAUUUCACUGCUUAGUAUGUAAAACACAAUCAAUCAUCAAAAAAGCCAUUUUGUAAACUCUGACAUCUGAGUACAACAGACACAAUCAAACAUUAAUGUCAUCCAGAAAGGCAAAUUCACAUUGAAAUACGUUAUGUUCAUACAAAGUACAUGCAUAACUUUUGGUAAGAUCUUCUCUAUUUUAUAAACACCUUUUACUGUCACAAUGCUCACUGCUCCUAAUUGAUCAUCACUCAACCAUUUUGUGAAUAUACUGUAUGUAUUUUACAUAGUUUUCCCUACUAUGUUCAGAUUAAAAAGUGCAUAAUAACCAACCAACCUAAUGCCAUGGAUUUGUAUAUGACCUCAGUGGGAUUCCAACCCACAACCUUGGUGCCAGUAGUGUUGGCUGUCUCGCCCCUUCAGGUCGGUUCCCGAUACUCACUGCCAAAUCUCUUCUGUCCUGGCACCUCAAUGGUGGAACCAGCUUCCCUUGGAGGCUAGGAUAGCAGAGCCUCUACCUGUCUUCAAAACUAACCUUUUCACAGAGUACUUAAUAUAGUUCUACUGCAACCACCCCUGUCUCUUGUUAAUUUUAUGUUUAAUGUUUAUUUGUAAAGUCUUCUCUCCAGCACAGACCUUUGCCGAUAACUAAUUAAUUGAGUAGAAUACAAUAACUAUUAAACUGUGUUUUUGUUUCACCUAGCUCUUUUACUGUUUUUCCCAGUCGUUUAUAUACUGUGACCGAAAGCACACACAGAGGGAUCAGAUGUUCAAGCUAACAUCCCGGAACCAUGAGCCAUUUCUGUGGAACCAAGCAUACGUUCUAGUUUAUUCAACUCAAUUUGCAAGUCCAGUUCACUCACGUGGCAAAACACUACAAUACAACUCCCAAUGUGUGAGCACAAUAUUGCCAUUGAGAAAACACCUGUUCCAUUUGUGAGAAUACAUGAGUCACAAGACAAAACAUAAAGUGUCAAUGUAUUACAAGUACAACAAGCUUCACCUGUGCAAACACAACUAACCAAAGUGUUCAAUCGGUUCUUUGUUCUUUCAGGUAUAAAAAAGGACACACAAGAGGUGGAAACAUUGAGUGGAGGUCCCUGGCCAAAGGGUUGGAAACAUCACCAAGGGUGAAGGUCCCUGGCCAAAGGGUUGGAAACAUCACCAAGGGUGGAGGUCCCUGGCCAAAGGGGUGGAAACAUCACCAUGGGUGAAGGUCCCUGGCCAAAGGGGUGGAAACAUCACCAUGGGUGGAGGUCCCUGGCCAAAGGGGUGGAAACAUCACCAUGGGUGAAGGUCCUUGGCCAAAGGGUUGGAAACAUCAACAUCCGUGCUACUAAAGACAACAUAUGGCCCCAGGCUCACCAACCAACCCCAGAUCCUAAUGAUUCUCUUUCCACCAUAUUCACCAAUUCAAUUGAGGAUUUUUUUCUCAGCUUGGCAAUGGAAGGUGUAUGAUCGGAACUCUCAUUAGCAAGUGAGUCUUCUCCAGGUAGUGGAGGCGGUCUGUGGUGAGAUCACUGCAGUGGCAUGCCAAGGAUGGAUCCGGCAUGCUAUGUGUUUUUCCCCCCUCUGCUUGGCCAGGGAACACAAUUGUGAUGUGGAUGAAAACAUGUGGCCAACUCAGCAUGGCAGGGAGUACAAUGCCUGAGAUUUAUUUUCUCUCCGUUCUUGUGUACUGUAUAAUAGUGUAACUUUUUGUUUCUUGAUGAUAUAAAAUGUAUGUGUCAUACAUCUCUGGAAAAAAAUUUGACCACUGCAAAAAAUGAAGAGACUACUGCACCUAUUUCUUUCCUUUCCAAAAAAAGUUGGAAAGGAAGGUUUUGAGUGAGGAACAGAAGGGUUAAAAUUAAGAGACCACUGCAAAUUGAAUGCUUUCGUUCCUCAAUCAAAACAUUCCUUUUCAACUUUUUUGGAAAGGAAAGAAAUAGGUUCAGUAGGCUCUUAAUUUUUUCCAGACCUGUACAUUUUUAUAUUUUUGGGUGGCCAGGAUCAAACUUUAUGUAAAAUGUUCCUCUGAGAAUCUUUCAUUUUGAUGAGAGAGUUUUUUUAUACACACAAUGUUUUCUUAAUGCUCCGUGUGUGCAACAUAUAUGACUGUGUGCAUGAUUCUGACCUGAUUAUUUGAUUUUGAGGGCUGUUCGUAUAGUUAUUAGGCCAGAAUUAAACAUGUUCCCUGUGUGUGUAAGUUUUGGAGAUGUGACUUGUUAUAAUAGGCUUUGUGUUAACAGUUUGGGGAUAUUGGGAUAUAAUUGAGAGAAUAGUGUGUAUUCAAUUGGGAAAAACUAUCAAAUGUAUGCAUUUACUGUAAGUUGCAUUUACAGCAUUUGCUAAAUGACUAAAACAUAAAUGUAAAAUGUGGUGUGCUAACAACUGAUCCUCAAAAGACCACUCCAUUGCCCGUAACAGUGCGUCAAAUACAGGCCAAGAUUGCCAUCCGUAGUAGUAACCACAACUGGUAAAUAUACAACCAUGUAAACCAUGUGAACACUGGCAAUGUCUUUCAAUAUGGAGCAGGAUAGGCAGCUAGGUAGAGAAGUAAAUCAGAAAACCACUAGACAAGGUCAAAAAUAUAAACUGAGCUGCUGUGAACAAUCAAAAUCACUUCUACCUGGCCAAAACUUAACACAUUGUCUGCAGAAUAUCAAUGGCAAAUGAGUGACUGUCCAUGUGCCUGGACAUCGUAGUGGAAACAUAUCCAUGUGUGCAGCCCUAUCUGAAGAUGGGGUGGUAGGACAAAAGCCUCUUAUUGGGUCUUCCAAUGCUGAGUUUCUCAAUUAAAUUGUGUGGGAUACUGUUAGGUUCCACAUUUUAGACGUGAUUCAAGAAUGGUUUUGGGCUAAUACCUGAUUCCUGACCCUAGACCUGGCCCAUAAUCUCCUUUUUCAUUGAGGAGGUGGAAGGACUAUGACCACCAUCCACAUGAGCAUGUCUCUCUUCUUCAGCUCAUGGAUAAGCCAUGUUUGGAUUCACCAUGCCGAAGGAUUAUAU
Molecule: long non-coding RNA, 2977 nt
Organism: Esox lucius (northern pike)
Lineage: Eukaryota; Metazoa; Chordata; Actinopteri; Esociformes; Esocidae
Source: Ensembl